AAAUCGUACCCCAAACCGACACAGGUGGUCAGGUAGAGAAUACCAAGGCGCUUGAGAGAACUCGGGUGAAGGAACUAGGCAAAAUGGUGCCGUAACUUCGGGAGAAGGCACGCUGAUAUGUAGGUGAGGUCCCUCGCGGAUGGAGCUGAAAUCAGUCGAAGAUACCAGCUGGCUGCAACUGUUUAUUAAAAACACAGCACUGUGCAAACACGAAAGUGGACGUAUACGGUGUGACGCCUGCCCGGUGCCGGAAGGU
This 256-nucleotide ribosomal RNA is filed under the name Escherichia coli. RNAcentral describes it as "partial 23S ribosomal RNA". It matches the Rfam family "Bacterial large subunit ribosomal RNA", at positions 1639 to 1877 of the family's 2925-position model. Lineage: Bacteria; Pseudomonadati; Pseudomonadota; Gammaproteobacteria; Enterobacterales; Enterobacteriaceae. The record is from RNAcentral.